AUUGAACGCUGGCGGCAGGCCUAACACAUGCAAGUCGAGCGGAUGAAGGGAGCUUGCUCCUGGAUUCAGCGGCGGACGGGUGAGUAAUGCCUAGGAAUCUGCCUGGUAGUGGGGGAUAACGUCCGGAAACGGGCGCUAAUACCGCAUACGUCCUGAGGGAGAAAGUGGGGGAUCUUCGGACCUCACGCUAUCAGAUGAGCCUAGGUCGGAUUAGCUAGUUGGUGGGGUAAAGGCCUACCAAGGCGACGAUCCGUAACUGGUCUGAGAGGAUGAUCAGUCACACUGGAACUGAGACACGGUCCAGACUCCUACGGGAGGCAGCAGUGGGGAAUAUUGGACAAUGGGCGAAAGCCUGAUCCAGCCAUGCCGCGUGUGUGAAGAAGGUCUUCGGAUUGUAAAGCACUUUAAGUUGGGAGGAAGGGCAGUAAGUUAAUACCUUGCUGUUUUGACGUACCA
Molecule: ribosomal RNA, 456 nt
Filed under: Pseudomonas aeruginosa
Lineage: Bacteria; Pseudomonadati; Pseudomonadota; Gammaproteobacteria; Pseudomonadales; Pseudomonadaceae
Description: bacterial SSU rRNA
Rfam family: Bacterial small subunit ribosomal RNA
Source: RNAcentral